UACGAGUGAGCCCACCAAAAUAUUCCUAC
Molecule: small RNA, 29 nt
Filed under: Bombyx mori (domestic silkworm)
Lineage: Eukaryota; Metazoa; Arthropoda; Insecta; Lepidoptera; Bombycidae
Description: ovarian small RNA-21012
Source: RNAcentral